This is a small nuclear RNA of Suncus etruscus (white-toothed pygmy shrew), 107 nucleotides long. The record is from RefSeq and is a predicted model, not a curated record. NCBI's taxonomy places the organism in Eukaryota, Metazoa, Chordata, Mammalia, Eulipotyphla, Soricidae.
GUGCUUGCUUUGGCAGCACAUAUGCUAAAAUUGGAAUGAUACAGAGAAGAUAAUUAUGACCCCUGCACAAGGAUGACACGCAAAUUUGCUUAGUGUUCCAUAAUUUA